Molecule: ribosomal RNA, 491 nt
Filed under: uncultured bacterium
Lineage: Bacteria
Description: partial 16S ribosomal RNA
Rfam family: Bacterial small subunit ribosomal RNA
Source: RNAcentral
AGUGAACGCUGGCGGUAGGCCUAACACAUGCAAGUCGAACGGCAGCACAGUAAGAGCUUGCUCUUACGGGUGGCGAGUGGCGGACGGGUGAGGAAUACAUCGGAAUCUACUUUUCGGGGGGGGUAACGUAGGGAAACUUACGCUAAUACCGCAUACGACCUACGGGGGAAAGCAGGGGAUCUUCGGACCUUGCGCGAUUGAAUGAGCCGAUGUCGGAUUAGCUAGUUGGCGGGGUAAAGGCCCACCAAGGCGACGAUCCGUAGCUGGUCUGAGAGGAUGAUCAGCCACACUGGAACUGAGACACGGUCCAGACUCCUACGGGAGGCAGCAGUGGGGAAUAUUGGACAAUGGGCGCAAGCCUGAUCCAGCCAUACCGCGUGGGUGAAGAAGGCCUUCGGGUUGUAAAGCCCUUUUGUUGGGAAAGAAAAGCAGCAGGUUAAUACCCCGCUGUUCUGACGGUACCCAAAGAAUAAGCACCGGCUAACUUCGUG